This 253-nucleotide ribosomal RNA is filed under the name uncultured bacterium. Its description in RNAcentral is "partial 16S ribosomal RNA". It matches the Rfam family "Bacterial small subunit ribosomal RNA", at positions 524 to 776 of the family's 1533-position model. The record is from RNAcentral.
UACAGAGGUCCCGAGCGUUGUUCGGAUUCAUUGGGCGUAAAGGGUGCGUAGGCGGUCUUCUAAGUUUGAUGUGAAAUCCCGGGGCUCAACCCCGGAACUGCAUUCGAUACUGCUGCGCUAGAGUACUGGAGAGGAGAUUGGAAUUUACGGUGUAGCAGUGAAAUGCGUAGAUAUCGUAAGGAACACCGGUGGCGAAGGCGGCGACCUGGGACAAUACUGACGCUGAGGUGCGAAAGCGUGGGGAGCAAACGGG